UGCAGUCGAGCGGUAGAGAGAAGCUUGCUUCUCUUGAGAGCGGCGGACGGGUGAGUAAUGCCUAGGAAUCUGCCUGGUAGUGGGGGAUAACGUUCGGAAACGGACGCUAAUACCGCAUACGUCCUACGGGAGAAAGCAGGGGACCUUCGGGCCUUGCGCUAUCAGAUGAGCCUAGGUCGGAUUAGCUAGUUGGUGAGGUAAUGGCUCACCAAGGCGACGAUCCGUAACUGGUCUGAGAGGAUGAUCAGUCACACUGGAACUGAGACACGGUCCAGACUCCUACGGGAGGCAGCAGUGGGGAAUAUUGGACAAUGGGCGAAAGCCUGAUCCAGCCAUGCCGCGUGUGUGAAGAAGGUCUUCGGAUUGUAAAGCACUUUAAGUUGGGAGGAAGGGUUGUAGAUUAAUACUCUGCAAUUUUGACGUUACCGACAGAAUAAGCACCGGCUAACUCUGUGCCAGCAGCCGCGGUAAUACAGAGGGUGCAAGCGUUAAUCGGAAUUACUGGGCGUAAAGCGCGCGUAGGUGGUUUGUUAAGUUGGAUGUGAAAUCCCCGGGCUCAACCUGGGAACUGCAUUCAAAACUGACUGACUAGAGUAUGGUAGAGGGUGGUGGAAUUUCCUGUGUAGCGGUGAAAUGCGUAGAUAUAGGAAGGAACACCAGUGGCGAAGGCGACCACCUGGAC
RNAcentral lists this ribosomal RNA (682 nucleotides) under Pseudomonas sp. RNAcentral describes it as "bacterial SSU rRNA". It matches the Rfam family "Bacterial small subunit ribosomal RNA", at positions 56 to 734 of the family's 1533-position model. Lineage: Bacteria; Pseudomonadati; Pseudomonadota; Gammaproteobacteria; Pseudomonadales; Pseudomonadaceae. The record is from RNAcentral.